GAUGAACGCUAGCGGGAGGCCUAACACAUGCAAGACGAGCGGUAUUGUUUCUUCGGCUAUGAGAGAGCGGCGUACGGGUGCGUAACACGUGUGCAACCUGCCUUUAUCUGGGGGAUAGCCUUUCGAAAGGAAGAUUAAUACUCCAUAAUAUAUUGAAAGGCAUCGUCUAAUAUUGAAAGCCUCGGCGGGUAGAGAUGGGCACGCGCAAGAUUAGCUAGAUGGAGAGGUAACGGCUAACUAAGGCGAUGAAACUUAGGGGGCCUGAGAGGGUGAUCCCCCACACUAAUACUGAGACACUGACCAGGCUCCUACGGGAGGCAGCAGUAGGGAAUAUUGGUCAAUGAAUGCAAGCCUGAACCAGCCAUCCCGCGUGAAGGACGUCUGCCCGAUGUGUUGUAAACUUCUUUUGUAUAAGUAUAAACCUACCCUCGAGAGAGUAGCUGAAGUUACUAUACGAGUGAGCACCGGCUAACUCCGUG
Molecule: ribosomal RNA, 479 nt
Filed under: uncultured bacterium
Lineage: Bacteria
Description: partial 16S ribosomal RNA
Rfam family: Bacterial small subunit ribosomal RNA
Source: RNAcentral